Molecule: long non-coding RNA, 203 nt
Filed under: Urocitellus parryii (Arctic ground squirrel)
Lineage: Eukaryota; Metazoa; Chordata; Mammalia; Rodentia; Sciuridae
Description: lncRNA (ENSUPAG00010005988.1)
Source: RNAcentral
UUUGUUUUCUGUGAUUCAAGACACUGRGUCAGCAUUCCUGCCUCUGGAAAUUUAGGAAAAAUAGGGGCAGCCAGUCCUGGAAGGAAGCCAAUAAGUCCACCAUGAGACCUGCAUUCUUCUCCUCCCMCUCAUCCUCCAAGAACAAGAAGGAGUAGCUUGAGAGCCCACAGGAAAAGGAGCUGAUGGGUCUUGGACACAUUUUC